CUUGUACUUGGAAGUUAAACUAUGUUUUUGAAUUUUUCUGAGAGCUUAUAUAUGGUGUUUUAUCCUUUUUAAGAUAUUUCUUGGGGUUUCCAAGUGGUUUGAGGUUUAGAAAAGCUUGAAGAGAUUGUUUUCGCCGAAAAGUUGCUCGGAUAAGCACAUCAAUACCUAAGACACCACUUGUUACAUGGUGAACUAUAUUUUGGACAAAAGGUAAGUAAAGUACUCAACUGCAACACAAGAAUUAUGUGUUAUGUGAAAGUAUGCAUUAUAUGAAUAUUUUGUGAGUAAGUGGUAUUAACAUACAGUGACACUUCAUCAUAAAUUUGUAUGCAUGGCAUAAUAGUGAUAUGGUAAAUUAUUAUAUGAUAUAAGACCAUGCAUGAUAUUAUGAUGAUUAAUUAUAUGAUGCAUUUGCAAGUUUUGUGCAACAUAAAAUAAAGUUGUUAUAAGAAGUUUAAGUUCAGUGCCACUGUUUUGAAAAGGCAAAUGAAAGUGUUAGUAAGUGUAAACGGAGGCCUAUAGUAGGCUUAUAGUGGCUGCCCAAUAAUUUAGGCUAGGUUUUAGUGAACUAAUUAUAUUGUUUGCCAUGUUUCCGUUUUUAUUUCUCCUCCAUAUGAGUUAUUGUUAUAUGUAUUGACACCACAGUGUGUGGCCGCCUUAACUCUUGAGCCCAACGGGGCAACGAUGGAAUAAGGUUUUUAAUGUGCCCUACUGUGGUGAUGGCUAGCCGGAGGAGAACCCAUGGGAUUUUGUAUUAUAUGUGUAACAAGCCCUGCAGGCAUUGACCAAUUCAAACAGUGUGCACAAUAUUAAGGGGCCCAAAAUUUAAAAAGAAGUUGUAUAUGUCCAUUGAUAUUGGGUAAUCAUUAGCAUUGCAUGCAUUACUUUGCUUACUGAGCUUUAGGCUCACAGUUGUCUUGUGUUGCAAGUAGAGAAAGAAAUGUGUGAAUGACAUGAGGAGAACUGAAGCAUGGUCCUGACCCUGAUUUGUACAUAUGAACAUAUCGACCUUUUUGUGGGUUAUUUCAGUUAUCAGUGAGAUGUUUGUAAUAAAGUGUGAAGUUAUGUUUUGAAAACAAAUUGGGUUAUUUAAUACUUAUGUAUAAUAUGUUUGAGACCCACUUUAUGUUUAAUGUAAAUAAUGUGAAAUAA
This is a long non-coding RNA of Humulus lupulus (European hop), 1152 nucleotides long. RefSeq lists it as uncharacterized. Lineage: Eukaryota; Viridiplantae; Streptophyta; Magnoliopsida; Rosales; Cannabaceae. The record is from RefSeq and is a predicted model, not a curated record. The transcript has 2 exons.